GGAGAGGAAACUUUGAUGCGUUUCGAUAUAGUUCUCUCAGAAAUGAAAAUAGUUUUUGACAACUAAUCGUAGUUCUCAGAAUAAACAUAAACAUAGUUUUCUCAUAAAUGAACAUAGUUUUCACAACUAAAGAGAAACAUGAUCCAGCUACAUCAAUACGUUCAUCUAGUCCGAGUCACCUUCAUAUAGUAACUCAUCAUCAUCAUCAUCAUCAUCAUCAUCUCCGGCAACAACAACUCCCUUCCCUUUCUUAUCGAGAUUAACCUUACCAACAGGUAAAUCGGCAACAAGAGCCUUAAUCGUCUCCAUAUGUGCCUCUUCCGCUUUUUGUUGUAACUCUUCUAUUUCAAUCCUUCUCUUUCUUGCCCUAACCUGCUGCAAAUAUUCUUCCCAUGAACCCUUAGGGUGUUUCGCAUUCGGAUCAACCACAUAACCUAAGCGAUCUCUUUCCUCCCUCAACCUUUGUUUCUCCAACUCCUUCUCC
Molecule: long non-coding RNA, 484 nt
Filed under: Setaria viridis
Lineage: Eukaryota; Viridiplantae; Streptophyta; Magnoliopsida; Poales; Poaceae
Description: long non-coding RNA (SVIR_LNC003011)
Source: RNAcentral